Molecule: ribosomal RNA, 534 nt
Filed under: Steinernema feltiae
Lineage: Eukaryota; Metazoa; Nematoda; Chromadorea; Rhabditida; Steinernematidae
Description: partial large subunit ribosomal RNA
Rfam family: Eukaryotic large subunit ribosomal RNA
Source: RNAcentral
GAUAGGAUGGAAGCAGAUGAAGUUGACGAACGUGUGUCGUAUUCAAAAUCGCUGUCAGCGGUUUGUUUUUACGGCCGAUGUGGGCCGGCGGCUUUGGUCAAUGCAACGCGUCUAGCGUCGAUGGUGACCCUGCGGAGGGACAAUCAGUCGUCGUACGGUGCUUGGUAUGGCUAAGGUUUCGCCGGUCUUAAAGUCAGCGCCUCAUCUGACCCGUCUUGAAACACGGACCAAGGAGUGUAGCGUUUGCGCAAGUCUUAGAGUGUAUCGAAACUUUGAGGCGUAACGAAAGUAAAUGCAGUUUAAUCUGCUGACUUGGGAUGCGUUGUCUCUUGUGGACGGCGCUGGACCAAGGUUUUAUCGCGAUCGCUUGCGGUGCGGUGAAAAUAGAGCGUAAACGGUGCGACCCGAAAGAUGGUGAACUAUGCCUGAGCAGGAUGAAGCCGGAGGAAACUCUGGUGGAAGUCCGAAGCGGUUCUGACGUGCAAAUCGAUCGUCUGACUUGGGUAUAGGGGCGAAAGACUAAUCGAACCAUCU